This 222-nucleotide long non-coding RNA is filed under the name Capsicum annuum. RNAcentral describes it as "long non-coding RNA (CANN_LNC014659)". The record is from RNAcentral. Lineage: Eukaryota; Viridiplantae; Streptophyta; Magnoliopsida; Solanales; Solanaceae.
GAAAGAAAGAAACAAGAAACAUUAGCUGCUCAAAGUACAUCAAUUGUGGAGGGAGGAUGAGAAAAGAAUUAGACUUGUUGAUGAAGCAUGUAUACAACAAAUCAUCUGCAAAUGAUGAACGCCCAUCUCAAGAAGACAACCAAACUUAUGAGGAUGAAAGUGAUGGUGACUCUGACGGCGUGAAUGAAAGUGAUAAUCCUGAUAACGUGAAUGAAAGUGAUU